This 460-nucleotide ribosomal RNA is filed under the name uncultured bacterium. RNAcentral describes it as "partial 16S ribosomal RNA". It matches the Rfam family "Bacterial small subunit ribosomal RNA", at positions 338 to 795 of the family's 1533-position model. The record is from RNAcentral.
CCUACGUGAGGCAGCAGUGAGGAAUAUUGGUCAAUGGACGAGAGUCUGAACCAGCCAAGUAGCGUGAAGGAUGACUGCCCUAUGGGUUGUAAACUUCUUUUAUAUGGGAAUAAAAUGUUCCACGUGUGGGCUUUUGUAUGUACCAUAUGAAUAAGGAUCGGCUAACUCCGUGCCAGCAGCCGCGGUAAUACAGAGGCUCCGUGCGUUUUCCGGAUUUAUUGGGUUUAAAGGUCGCGUAGGUGGAUUGUUAAGUUCGUUGUGAAAGUUGGCGGCUCAACCGUAAAAUUGCAGUUGAAACUGGCAGUCUUGAGUACAGUAGAGGUGAGCGGAAUUCGUGGUGUAGCAGUGAAAUGCUUAGAUAUCACGAAGAACUCCGAUUGCGAAGGCAGGUCACUGGACUUCAACUGACACUGAGGCACGAAAGUGUGGGUAUCAAACAGGAUUAGAUACCCCUGUAGUC